GACGAACGCUGGCGGCGUGCUUAACACAUGCAAGUCGAACGGAAAGGCCCUGCUUUUGUGGGGUGCUCGAGUGGCGAACGGGUGAGUAACACGUGAGUAAACUGCCCUUAACUUUGGGAGAACUUCAGGAAACUGGGGCUAAUACCGGAGAGGAUCUCCUGCUGCAUGGGGGGGGUUGGAAAGUGUCGGCGGUGGUGGAUGGAUUAGAGGCUUAUCAGCUGGAUUGUGGGGUAGUUGCAUACAAAGGCUUUGACGGGUAGGCGGCCUGGGAGGUCGGCCGGCCUCAUUGGGCCUGAGAUACGGCGCAGACGCCUAUGGGAGGCAGCAGUGGGGAGUAUUGCACAGUGGGCGGAAGCCUGAUGCAGCAGCGUCGCGUGCGGGAUGACGGCCUUCGGGUUGUAAACCGCUUUCGCCUGUGACGAAGCGUUCGUGACGGUAAUGGGUAAAGAAGCACCGGCUAACUACGUG
This 468-nucleotide ribosomal RNA is filed under the name uncultured bacterium. Its description in RNAcentral is "partial 16S ribosomal RNA". It matches the Rfam family "Bacterial small subunit ribosomal RNA", at positions 28 to 507 of the family's 1533-position model. The record is from RNAcentral.